Molecule: long non-coding RNA, 1023 nt
Filed under: Piliocolobus tephrosceles (Ugandan red Colobus)
Lineage: Eukaryota; Metazoa; Chordata; Mammalia; Primates; Cercopithecidae
Description: lncRNA (ENSPTEG00000012268.1)
Source: RNAcentral
GGAUUGGCAAUGGUACUGUUUGGAUUGAUUCCGUGUUCGGUUCUUGUACCUAAUUGAUCAUUAAUAUGUCCACUGAAUUUAAUAUUUUCUGUUUCGUUUUGGUAUAUACCAUUAUUAUAGCCAUUAUGGUUCUUAUUAUGUUCGUAUAACGCACUGUUACUGUCACUAUUGUCACUGGUGUCACUGGUGUCAGUAUCCAAAUAUGAAGUACUACAACUUUCAUCAGUUGAUCCUAUACUAUUAUUAUUAUUAUUUGUAAAAUUGUUAUUAUAAUAAAUGUUAUUAUUAUCUUGAUGUGAUGAAUUAUUAUGUAUAUGUGUAUUUUUUUUAAUCCUAUAAUAUUUUCACUUGAUGAUACAUUAAUAAACUUUUUUAACUUUUUAAAUAAAAUACCAACAAUACUUAUAUUGUUAAUAAAAUGGUGUAUACCUAUACUUACUUUUCUAUUAUGUACAUAAAAACUUUUUUUUUUUUUUGUGUGUUUUUUUUUUUUUUUUUUUUUCUUUUUGUACAUAAAGUUGUGUGUUUGCAUCGGUAUUGUCGUACUCAACAGGAUGCAUGCCCCGAUUUAAAUCUGCAUAAUUAUCAAUCAUAUUUGAUCGAUCUGCAUAAUUAUCUACAAUGUUUGGCCUCUUUGUUAUAUUCAUACGUUCGUCCAUACGUUCGUCCAUACGCCCAUCCAUACGUUCGUCCAUACGUCCAUCCAUACGUUCGUCCAUACGUCCAUCCAUACGUCCAUCCAUACGUUCGUCCAUACGUCCAUCCACACGUUCGUCCACACGUCCAUCCACACGUUCGUCCACACGUCCAUCCAUACGUUCGUCCAUACGUCCAUCCACACGUUCGUCUAUCGAUUGUUGUAUUUUAUUGGACUGACCUAUUACAUCCACAUAUUGUUGAUUCGAAAUAUUAAUAGAAUCUAAUGUUUUAUUUUUUAUUUGUGUAUGUUCCUCACUUUUACAUUCAUUUUCAUAAGUUUUUAAUUUUAAUAAAACAUAUAAUAUGUAUUUAUAAUUAAUAUUA